GAAGCGCGUUGAUGAGGUGGAGUUUGUUGACACUCCCUUACACAUAGCUGCAGCUGCAGGGCACACCGAUUUUGUGAUGGAGAUGAUGAACUUAAAGCCAUCAUUUGCUAAGAAGUUGAACCAACAUGGUUUUAGCGCCCUUCACCUGGCCUUGCAAAACGGGCAUAAAGAGACGGUGCUUCAACUCCUGGAAAUCAAUAAAGAUCUUGUUCGUGUCAAAGGGAAGAAUGGCUACACUCCUUUGCAUUAUGUAACUAGAGAAGGAAACCUUGAUCUUUUGGCUAAAUUUUUGGAGGAUUGUCCUGAAUGUGUCUUUGACGUGACAAUUCACAGCUAGACUGCUUUUCACAUUGCUGUUGAAAACGAUAGAUUAGCUGCUCUUCAUGUCUUAUCCAAGAUGCUGAAGAAGACUGAUUGUUGUCAAGGAGUGGUGAACCGGAAAGAUAAGGAUGGCAACACUGCCUUACACAGAGCUGCGGCCAAGAAUUACCCCCAGGUCAUCAAAUCUCAUUGACCCGCUCUAAUUAAUUUUACUUUUGGUAAAAAGAAAUGGAUCCUUUUUUGGUUGUAUUUUGCGGUCAUUAACCGAUAGAAGUUUUUGUCUUGAUUAAACCUAGAUGCUCAAACUGCUAUUAGCAUGCAAGGCUGAUAAAAAUGUGACCAAUCAAGCUGGUUUAACGGCUCUGGAUGUUGCACGGGGCCAGGUUAACAACCGAGAAAGCAUUAAUAUACUUGGAGUUUGUUCAUUUGCUGGAGUUUCAACUUUAUAUAAGUUGUGGCAACUGAUCGUCAAAAUUUUAACAGAGGCAUCAACAGAGAUUUUUCAGGAUAUGGAUGGCAUUUCAAGCGACGACCGCAACGCUUUAUUAGUAAUAUUGGGAUUGCUACUAACAGCAACCUACCAAGCAAUUCUUAGCCCGCCCGGUGGCGUUUGGCAGGGUGCAGGUACGGAAACUCGUUUAAGCUCGCCUAGCGUUGUUUGGCAGGUUGGAGCUCCAACCUCCACUCCCACUCCAUUCCAUCCUAGAAAAAGUAGAAAUAUCGUAGGAACAUCAAUCAUGGAUCCAGUUGAAUUUCUUGUUUUCUAUCUUACAAUCUGUGCAGUGUUUAUCGUAGCGUUUUUCUUAACAUUGGGCCUCCUUAAACCUUUUCCCCGAGGUUUCAAGACUGCUCUUCAGGUAUUAUUGGCAUUUUUUGCUAUAUGCUUUCAAGCGUCAAUAUAUCCCAUAAUUCCGUUUUAUUUUUACGUGCCCUUAGUUAUCAACAUAUUUAUAUUUUUGGUUUUUGUUAUAAUGAUGUCCAUGUGUACUGCUUCCCGUGUAUCCAAAAUUAGCGUUAUGGUACUAGGAUGCUGGUUACUUGUUGGUGUCAUUUAUCAAUCCUUCGCAUCUUUCGGUUCUUAAGAUUUCAUAUGUUCUCUGUUGUAUCUCUAUUUGUGGUUAAAUGUAUCACAACCAAAGUCAAUUUGUCAGACAAUCACCUCUCUUUUUUUUUUUUUUGAAGUUGUGAACCAGUUCAGUUUUAUAUUGUACUCCUGUUUUGGGAAAAAAAAUUUAAUGGAAAAAAAUGUUUUCCCAACUAUUUUUUUUUAUUUCAUAAUGUAACGGAUACUGUUAAUUUCGAAAAAAUAAUAGUAAAAUGUUGAUUAAUUAAUAAUAAUAAUUAAUUAGUUUCAAUAAUCAAUUUUUUAAAUGAAUAAAAACAAAAAAAUUAGUUACAUUUUAAUUGAUUGAAUUUUAAAAUGAAAAAUUUGAUAAAUAUUAUAUCCUACAAUUAUGAACGUGUAAUGAUAAAAAAAAUGCUUUGAUGUUCUUUGCAUGUUAUUUAACACGUAAACAUGAAUUCGGCCAAAUUUGUCAAAGCCAGGUUAUGUUAAUAAAGCCCAUGAAUUUCUCAAAAUAUUUUCCAGGAUUUGAUAUCUCAACCCUCAAGCCCACCUUCCAUUUUAGGAUGACAAAUAUCAGACAUGAAGAACAAAUAAGUCCAGAGGAAGUCAUAUAUGGCAAAAUACCAAGAGAAGGAACUGAAGUUGGAAGCAACAAGGGAAGAAUUCGUGACUCAAAGGAACAGAAGCCAUAGCAUAACAAAUGAUGCUCUAAACGCACCGUUUCACUUAAACACAGCACCAUGGCAGCAUAUCAUAUGUGUGAGAAACACACCGUUUCAGUAAUUGGUGCUUUUCAAAUUUUAGUUUAGAGAGGUUUAUUAGAUUAGAGUAUUUUUAUGUAUUUGGAGAAGGGAAUUCCAAUUUUAUUUUUUUUUAAAAAAAAUUAUAUAUCAGUUAAUAAGUUAAAUAUUCAAAUAUUUUGAUUAGUUUAGAAUUAAUUUGGUUUCCUUCAUUUAUUCCCACCUGUAAAAGCUAUAUAUAUUCUAAAGCUAGUAUCAUACCCUAAUUUGGAUUAUUCAAUGUGAAUUGAGUUAACAUUCUCUCACCAUUGCUGCAUCGGACGCUUUUCCUUUUAUACCAUGCUAGAUUUUGUCCCGUGCUCCGUGCUCGGGUUAAAAAAAAAACUGUUGUAAAAAAUGUUCAUGGCAAAAAAAUAUACAAUUUUUCGUACAAAAGGAGAGAGCAUGCAUUCAUUUGCACCUAUUCAAGUGAAAGUGAAUGAUCAUAAUGAAAAUUAAGAUCAUUAUUCACUCUUCAAUUCGUUAUGCUUGCUUAAACAAAAAAUAUAAAGCAAUUUUUAUAAAUUUAUACAUUCAUUUGUAUCUACUUAACAAAAGGAGUGUGGCCAUGAAUAAAAUUUACAUUAUGCUCUGAUGUUAUGUUUUUGCAGUUACUUUUGUGCAUACAAAAGUUAACGUUAUAGUGUUCUGUGGUGUUAACUUGAGGAAUAGUUUUCUAGCUACUCGGUUGCUGACUGGUGAUGGUAAAGUUUGCUCUUCUGAUUCUAUUCUUGUUGGAAGUGUCAUUGAUCUUGAAGCAGCAGCAGAACUUGGAGUGUAGCAUUCUUGGUUUCGCAGCUCAUCACAAUCAAACAUCUUGUGGCUGGUUAUUCCUGAUUUCAUUACUUUGGUGGUUAAGCCUAUGGUGAAAAUCCUUCCUUGAUUGAUAAAUGCUUUUUGCAGAAGGUGCAGCAAAAAGGUGUCAAGAACCAGUUUCAAAAGAGUAGAACAAACUACUUACAUUUGAAAAACUGAAAGCAACAAAAAUAAUCAUGUAAAACAUAUCCUUUUUUGAGUCCUAUAAAGAGAAAGAUUAGCUUGAUAACUGUGCGUGAAACCACCGGAGUCUUGACUGAUAAUAUCUUUUGUUAAAGCAUAAAGCAAUAUCAAUGUAAAAAGAUCAAUGAAAAUUAAUACACACAUUAAUUUUCAAAAUAGUUAAGACGGGCAGUGAUAAAUAAGUAAAAAAAGGUAAAAUCAAAUAAAAUCCUAACCAAAAAAGUAAUGCUUUACUAAUAGCCAAAAAGAAGAGAUGAUUUUAUAAUUUAAGGAAUACCUUUGUUUCCUACAUCUUCUCCUUCACCGAUUUUCUCUUCAAGUUGCAUCAUCAAGGUGGACUCCGGCUCAAUUGCAUUUCAUAUGUCAAAACAAUUUCAAUUAAUUGAACAAACUGAGAGAACAAAAAGUAAAAAGCAAGACAUAAAAGAAAUGAAAUGAAAUUACAUGAUAGUUCAAAAGUUUUUAUUUUUGAAGUCAUAGUUCCAAAAUAGUUAAGACAAGUGGUGAUAAAUAAGCGAAAAAAGGGUAAAAUCAAGUAGAAAUUCUAACAAAAAAUACUGCCUCCUAGUGUGUUAUAUUUUUUUGUCCAUUUUAUUUCUUCCUUACUAAAGAGUCAAAAAGAAAAGAUGAUUAUAUAAUUUAAAGGAUACUUUCGCUUUUUACAUCUUCUCCUUCACCAAUUUUUUCUUCAGAUUGCAUCAUCAAGGUGGACUCCAGCUCAACUGCAUUUCAUAUGUCAAAGAAAUUUAAAGUAAUUGAACAAACUAAGGCAACAAAACAAAAAAGAAAUGAAACAAAAUUAUAUGACAUUUCAAAGGUUUUUAUUUCCGGGGAAUCAGUUUCAAAAUUAACUUCCAAAAUUAUACACACAUUAAAUUCCAAAAUUGUUAAACCAGCCAGUGAUUAAUAAGUUUAAAAAAAGUAAAAGUAAAAUAAAAUAAAAAUUCAAGCCAAAGAAAAACUACUUCCCAAUCCAUUCCGUUUUUUUAAUCCAUCCUAUCCUGACUAAAUAGCAAAAACGAAAAAUAAUUAUAUAAUUUAAAGAAUAUCUUUGUUUUUUUACAUAUUCUCUUUCAUCGAUUCUCUCUUCAAAUUGCAUCAUCAAGGUAUACUCUUAUUCAACUGUAUUUCUUAUAUUAAAAAAAUUUUAAGUAAUUGAACAAACUAAAGCAACAAAAAAAAAAUGAAACGAUAUUUUAUGACAGUUCGAAGGCUUUUAGUUGAGAAGAUUUAUUUUUGGUUGGGAAAUGUAAGUUCCAUUCAAAGCAAAAAAAAAAAAAGCUAUUUUGUUUGAAGAAUGAAGAUCGAGGAGGGAUGGAGUGGGAAAGUGUGUGCGCCUAUAUUUUUCAUUUUCUUAAAUAAAUCAUAAACAAUUGUAAUUUUCAACCUAGCAAGUGACUGAAAGCCUGUUAACGUGGCCAUUGGUCAUUGCCCACUUCAAAAGGCCAAGGCAAAGCUGAUUGGGAAGUUUGGUUGUUGGCAGUACAACUGAACGUCAUAAUCAUUGCUUCACUGUGCUCCGUUCACGUUUCAUAAAGAUUAAAAAACACUACAGUAUUGAAUGGGUGAUUGAAAAGGGAUGAUGGACAUCCCGAAGACCGAUCCGAAGAACCAAAACAGGAAAACAAAUUCAGGCCACCCACGUCGUCCAGUUGUACAAAUCUCCAUUAACCAAAACCUUUCACAGGAGUCUGAAAAGAGAGAAGAGCAAGUUAGAAAGAAAGGAAUGAGGCCAAAAAACAAACCUAACGCCACAGUAAAAGGAUGUGGGCAUGCGGCCUGCCCAAGUUGACCAAAGCCUAAAACUUUUCUUGAGAAGGCCACUUAAAAGUUUACUUGUCAACUCUGGAAGCCCUAACGUGGCAAAUUGUGAAAGUUACUUUGGUUUUUUUUUUUUUUUUUUAUUAUUAAGAGUAUGCUUAAUUUGAUUUUUUUUAAUUUAAAAAUUAUUGUGAAGUNGUUUUUUUUAAUUUAAAAGUUAUUAUGAAGUUUUUAUAAAAAAUAAUAAUUUUAAAAAUUAAAUUAAAGUUAUUUAUAAAUUUUUUAUAAUUUUUUUUAUAAGUUAUAAUUUUUAUUAAAAUUAUCAUAAAAUAUAUUUUUUUAAAAAGAUAAUAUUGUAAUUAUUUUUAAUAAUAAAGAUAUUUUUGAAAAAAAAUAAAAAUUUUCUUGUAUUUUUAAAAGAAGAGAAAAAAAAGGAAGUUCCUCCUUGGAGUUUUUUUUAAGCUAUUUUUUUAAAAAUUUUGUUCUUAAAUAAAAGUACUUUUUUUUAAUAGCUUAUCAAUUGAUUAUGUUUGAGCUGAUUUUUACAUUUAAAAAGUAAAUAAGUUGAAAAAAAAGUUAGAUCAAACAUGCACUAAGUCAUAGAUUUUCACAUGAAUUGGCAGCAGGCUCCUCUAGGCUCUAGCUGAAUUUUGAAAGGAAUACAGAGCACAAUUGAACAAUAUUCUUUAUGACCUUUUGGGACAGGAUAAAGUUUCUGCACCCAAAAUUUUGCAUACUACAGUAAACGUGAUAGAUUUAAUUAGCCCCCAGCUUUUUGUUGAUUUUAUUUUGGUUAUUGAUGGUUUUGUUUUUUGUUUUUUUAUUUUUGAUUAAAAAUAAUAUAAUGAAAAAAAAAAUAACAAGAAGUAAACAACAAAAACAAAAACAAGAACAGGUUAUCAAACAAUAUCUUUCAUGGAGAGAUCUCAUGAGGUUUGUGAAUGUUUAACUAUUGAGAGGAGCUGGAGCUCUCAGAGGCGGCUUCGGUUGCUUCAUUAUUUUUAUGUUGAGAGCUUUUCAAUGCAAUUUUAAACGUCAUUCAUAAGAAUAGCUUUUACAAUUCAUAUAUGUGAAUAAUGAUAUAGAUAGAUAAAAAAGUAACAGAAGAGAGUUUCACAAUUGAAAUACAUACUUAUAAAAAGAUUAGCUGUGUAUAAGCUAUUAGGAAGGAAGAACGAUUUUGUAACUAUGAUAGUAGUACCUUUUUUCUUUAUUUAAUUGUUUCUUUGAUCACCAUAAUAAGAGGGCAUCAAGUUGUUGCAGUGUUGCUGGUAAGUGGUGACAUGGAAAUUAUUUUUUUUAGAAGUGAAAACUUUUGUUAUUGUUUACGUAAUUAAAUGUAGAUUUUUAAAAUUAAUAUUUUUUGUUUUUUAAAAAAUUUUAAGGAUGAUUUUAUAUCCUCUAAAGCUACUAGUCAUCGUAGACAAAUGUCACUGCAUGGUUGAAAGGAAAAAAAGUAUACAUUUGGAAACAACGCGCAUUUAGAUAAUUUAAUCUUAUUACCUAGUGGUAAUGGCAAGACUACUAGUCAAUAAGGUUGAUCCCACUUCUGAAAACAAUCAAUAGGAUUGAGUUGAUUGACAUUUGAGAAAACGUUUGAGAAGGAGAUAGACAAGGUGAGCUUAGUUGUCCAAUAAUAGUUUGGGUUAUUUCCAUGAAACCACGUGAAUGAAGACCAAAGUUUUAAACUACUUCGUUCCAUGAAAGCUGUAUCUUUUUGUUCCACCUUUUCCGACUUGUAAUGUUUCCUUUUCACUAUAAUUGACUGACUCAAAAAAUACCUUUUCUUUUAAGUAUGAAAGUUCUACCUUUUUAUUUUGCCUUUUCCCCACUUUUAUUGUUUCCUUGUUGACUUUAAUCGACUGACGAAAAAGUCACCGAUCAUGAAGACAAGCACCUUACAAAGAAACGCAAUCUUGAUGUGGUAGAGAUAAUCCCUCCUCAUUUCCUUCACAAACCACAACUACUUUCUCUUUCAACAAACUAGUUAUUAUAAUUAUUAGUUCAAACGCUUCCAGUUCUCUGCCUAUAGUGUUUCUCGUCUCGCUAUGAUUACCGGAUGGAGGGGAGCCGCUCUAGCAGGAAAUAUCGAGGCACUCUACGCAUCAAUUCAAGAAGAUGGAGAUGUUUUGAAGCGCAUUGAUGAGGUGGAGUUUGUUGACACUCCCUUACACAUAGCUGCAGCCGCAGGGCACACCGAUUUUGUGAUGGAGAUGAUGAACUUAAAGCCAUCAUUUGCUAAGAAGUUGAACCAACGUGGUUUUAGCUCCCUUCACCUGGCCUUGCAAAACGGGCAUAAAGAGACGGUGCUUCGUCUCCUGGAAAUUAAUAAAGAUCUUGUUCGUGUCAAAGGGA
This 7281-nucleotide long non-coding RNA is filed under the name Theobroma cacao (cacao). Its description in RNAcentral is "long non-coding RNA (TCAC_LNC000117)". The record is from RNAcentral. Lineage: Eukaryota; Viridiplantae; Streptophyta; Magnoliopsida; Malvales; Malvaceae.